RNAcentral lists this ribosomal RNA (405 nucleotides) under uncultured bacterium. RNAcentral describes it as "partial 16S ribosomal RNA". It matches the Rfam family "Bacterial small subunit ribosomal RNA", at positions 361 to 773 of the family's 1533-position model. The record is from RNAcentral.
AUAUUGCGCAAUGGAGGAAACUCUGACGCAGCGACGCCGCGUGAGCGAUGAAGGUCUUCGGAUCGNAAAGCUCUGUCCUUGGGGAANAAGAUCGAAAGAUUUGACGGUACCCGAGGAGGAAGCUCCGGCUCACUACGUGCCAGCAGCCGAGGUAGUACGUAGGGGGCAAGCGUUGUCCGGAAUUAUUGGGCGUAAAGGGUGCGUAGGGGGCUUUUUAAGUGAGAUGUGGAAGACCACGGCUUAGACGUGGGGUUGAAUUUGAAACUGGAAGGCUUGAGUAUCGGAGAGGGUAGUGGAAUUCCCAGUGUAGCGGUGAAAUGCGUAGAUAUUGGGAGGAACACCAGUGGCGAAGGCGACUACCUGGACGAAAACUGACGUUGAUGCACGAAAGCUAGGGGAGCAAAC